Molecule: transfer RNA, 73 nt
Filed under: Trichonephila clavata
Lineage: Eukaryota; Metazoa; Arthropoda; Arachnida; Araneae; Nephilidae
Description: tRNA-Met
Rfam family: tRNA
About the family: Transfer RNA (tRNA) molecules are approximately 80 nucleotides in length.
Source: RNAcentral
GCCUCGGUAGCGCAUUAGGCAGCGCGUCAGUCUCAUAAUCUGAAGGUCGUGAGUUCGAACCUCACUCUGGGCA